ACAAAGAUAAAAACGCAACGUGUACUGGAUAAAGUAUGCUAGAACCGGUAGGUAGCCCGGUCGUCUCGUUAUUACGAGAUAAGUAACCUUCCCUCCUUGGGUUGUCCGUUCUUUGUGUAA
This 120-nucleotide non-coding RNA is filed under the name uncultured Lancefieldella sp. RNAcentral's name for it is "yjdF RNA". It matches the Rfam family "azaaromatic riboswitch aptamer (yjdF RNA)", at positions 5 to 92 of the family's 101-position model. The record is from RNAcentral. Lineage: Bacteria; Bacillati; Actinomycetota; Coriobacteriia; Coriobacteriales; Atopobiaceae.